This 253-nucleotide ribosomal RNA is filed under the name uncultured bacterium. Its description in RNAcentral is "partial 16S ribosomal RNA". It matches the Rfam family "Bacterial small subunit ribosomal RNA", at positions 524 to 776 of the family's 1533-position model. The record is from RNAcentral.
UACGUAGGGUGCAAGCGUUGUCCGGAAUUAUUGGGCGUAAAGAGCUCGUAGGCGGUUUGUCGCGUCUGCUGUGAAAACUCGGGGCUUAACUCCGGGCCUGCAGUGGGUACGGGCAGACUAGAGUGCGGUAGGGGAGACUGGAAUUCCUGGUGUAGCGGUGAAAUGCGCAGAUAUCAGGAGGAACACCGGUGGCGAAGGCGGGUCUCUGGGCCGUAACUGACGCUGAGGAGCGAAAGCGUGGGGAGUGAACAGG